AGAGUUUGAUCAUGGCUCAGAAUCAACGCUGGCGGCGUGCCUAACACAUGCAAGUCGAACGCGAAAGGGGCUUCGGCCCUGAGUAGAGUGGCAAACGGGUGAGUAACACGUGGGUGACCUGCCUUCGAGCGGGGGAUAACGUUCCGAAAGGAGCGCUAAUACCGCAUAACAUCCUGCCUUUGAAGAGGUGGCGAUCAAAGCCGGGGACCAUUCGGCCCGGCACUCGGAGAGGGGCCCGCGCCCGAUUAGCUAGUUGGUGGGGUAACGGCUCACCAAGGCUUUGAUCGGUAGCCGGCCUGAGAGGGCGGACGGCCACACUGGGACUGAGACACGGCCCAGACUCCUACGGGAGGCAGCAGUGGGGAAUUGUUCGCAAUGGGCGCAAGCCUGACGACGCAACGCCGCGUGGAGGAUGAAGAUCUUCGGGUCGUAAACUCCUGUCGAGCGGGAAGAAUACCUUUCGAGUGAACAGCUCGGGAGGUUGACGGUACCGCGAGAGGAAGCCCCGGCUAACUCCGUGCCAGCAGCCGCGGUAAUACGGGGGGGGCAAGCGUUGUUCGGAAUUACUGGGCGUAAAGGGCUCGUAGGCGGCCGACUAAGUCUGACGUGAAAUCCCCCGGCUCAACUGGGGAACUGCGUCCGAUACUGGUGGGCUUGAGAUCGGGAGAGGGACGUGGAAUUCCAGGUGUAGCGGUGAAAUGCGUAGAUAUCUGGAGGAACACCGGUGGCGAAGGCGGCGUCCUGGACCGACACUGACGCUGAGGAGCGAAAGCCAGGGGAGCAAACGGGAUUAGAUACCCCGGUAGUCCUGGCCCUAAACGAUGAAUGCUUGGUGUGGCGGGUAUCGAUCCCCGCCGUGCCGGAGCUAACGCAUUAAGCAUUCCGCCUGGGGAGUACGGUCGCAAGGCUGAACUCAAAGGAAUUGACGGGGGCCCGCACAAGCGGUGGAGCAUGUGGUUUCAAUUCGACGCAACGCGAAGAA
This 982-nucleotide ribosomal RNA is filed under the name uncultured bacterium. RNAcentral's name for it is "bacterial SSU rRNA". It matches the Rfam family "Bacterial small subunit ribosomal RNA", at positions 8 to 968 of the family's 1533-position model. The record is from RNAcentral.